Molecule: signal recognition particle RNA, 100 nt
Filed under: Anaerolineae bacterium
Lineage: Bacteria; Bacillati; Chloroflexota; Anaerolineae
Description: signal recognition particle sRNA small type
Rfam family: Bacterial small signal recognition particle RNA
About the family: The signal recognition particle (SRP) is a universally conserved ribonucleoprotein involved in the co-translational targeting of proteins to membranes. Archaeal SRP consists of a 7S RNA and homologues of the eukaryotic SRP19 and SRP54 proteins.
Source: RNAcentral
AGACGGGUCCGGCGCGGCGGAAACCUUUGAACCGUGCCAGGUCCGAAAGGAAGCAGCACUAAGGAGGAUUUUUCGGGUGCCGCCGGGGCGCCUGUCUGAG